This 465-nucleotide ribosomal RNA is filed under the name uncultured Klebsiella sp. RNAcentral's name for it is "bacterial SSU rRNA". It matches the Rfam family "Bacterial small subunit ribosomal RNA", at positions 338 to 795 of the family's 1533-position model. The record is from RNAcentral. Lineage: Bacteria; Pseudomonadati; Pseudomonadota; Gammaproteobacteria; Enterobacterales; Enterobacteriaceae.
CCUACGGGAGGCAGCAGUGGGGAAUAUUGCACAAUGGGCGCAAGCCUGAUGCAGCCAUGCCGCGUGUGUGAAGAAGGCCUUCGGGUUGUAAAGCACUUUCAGCGGGGAGGAAAGCGUUAAGGUUAAUAACCUUGGCGAUUGACGUUACCCGCAGAAGAAGCACCGGCUAACUCCGUGCCAGCAGCCGCGGUAAUACGGAGGGUGCAAGCGUUAAUCGGAAUUACUGGGCGUAAAGCGCACGCAGGCGGUCUGUCAAGUCGGACGUGAAAUCCCCGGGCUCAACCUGGGAACUGCAUUCGAAACUGGCAGGCUAGAGUCUUGUAGAGGGGGGUAGAAUUCCAGGUGUAGCGGUGAAAUGCGUAGAGAUCUGGAGGAAUACCGGUGGCGAAGGCGGCCCCCUGGACAAAGACUGACGCUCAGGUGCGAAAGCGUGGGGAGCAAACAGGAUUAGAUACCCUAGUAGUC